GCCGGAAUAGCUCAGUUGGGAGAGCGUUAGACUGAAGUUGUUUAUGCAACAAUCAUCUAAAGUUCAAUCCCGGGUUCCGGCA
Molecule: transfer RNA, 82 nt
Filed under: Dreissena polymorpha
Lineage: Eukaryota; Metazoa; Mollusca; Bivalvia; Myida; Dreissenidae
Rfam family: tRNA
About the family: Transfer RNA (tRNA) molecules are approximately 80 nucleotides in length.
Source: Rfam by way of RNAcentral